UACCAGCACCCCGAGUGGUCGGGACGAUUAUUGGGCCUAAAGCAUCCGUAGCCGGUUUUACAAGUCCCCCGUUAAAUCCAACUGCUUAACAGAUGGGCUGCGGAGGAUACUAUAAGACUAGGAGGCAGGAGAGGCAAGCGGUACUCAGUGGGUAGCGGUGAAAUGCGCAGAUAUCCGGAGGAACACCGGUGGCGAAGGCGGCUUCCUGGACCGACACUGACGCUGAGGCGCGAAAGCUAGGGGAGCAAACGGG
Molecule: ribosomal RNA, 253 nt
Filed under: uncultured bacterium
Lineage: Bacteria
Description: partial 16S ribosomal RNA
Rfam family: Bacterial small subunit ribosomal RNA (bases 27-253)
Source: RNAcentral